CUGCCACUGAACUUUGAAUUUAGCCGCUUACGAAAAUGUCGUUUCUUGCUGUUAUAUUCAACUCCCCUAACCUUAGCAUUCUAUUCUUUUGCCCUUAGCUUUGGAUCACCUCGAAAACUUAGUUAAAUAAUUCUCACAACGGUAUACUAUCACAUGGAGCCGAUCGACAUUUUGAAAAAAGGACACAACUGUAUCGUCUCGUUCUGGCGUCACUUCUCAUUGUCCCUCUCCCACUUGUUUCUGCUUAGAUUCCUCGAUAUAUAUAAAUGUGGGACUUACGCAGUUAUGCUUGUCAGUUGGAGAUUGAAUCAAAACUAUAAUGGGGAAUUGCUCUGUGAAAGGGGUCUCUGGAGAAUGUCUUAAUCACAUCAGUGUAUUUACAGAUUCCGGGGGCAUUAUACAGCUCAAAGGUCCCAAACUAGCUAAAGAUGUCCUUAAGGGGUAUCCGGGCUAUGGCAUUUUUAGGCAGGGAAAUGCUUCGUCUCCACUGUCUAGCUACGAGUACCUUAUUGGUGGGCAAUUUUACUACCUUCUUCCACUUCAGGAGAUGCCAAUGUCUGUAGGGGUUGCAAGGAAGGAAGGUAUGAGGUUUCUUGACGGGUUUGAGUCACCAAAGCUUUCAUCUGGGGCAGAAUUAGUGGAUUUCGGAGAGACCGCAGAGAAUGGACCAGCUGUUCAGGUCCUGCCGUCGCAAGGUCACGGAGUAUGGAAAGUGAAAUUGGUCAUCAAUCCAAAGCAAUUGGAGGAAAUUUUAUCAGAGCAGGGAAAUACUGAAACCUUGAUUGAGAAGAUGAGAAUGGCUGCAAGCUCCGCUACUUUGGAACCCAGACAGAGCAAAAGCUCUAGGGGGUUGGCUUGGAUGCCUUCUCUCUGUAGUGUAUUCAAGGUGUCCCCAAUUGAUGGGGCCAAAUAAAAAGCCUGAUGUUACUUUCUAUGUAAUGUUAGGAUACCAGAGAAUUAUCUCUCAACUAUCAUGUAAAUAUGGCAGAUUAGAGAUGGUGGUAGUAGUGAUGUCUUACUAAAAAACUGGAGUUUUCUUCGCCGGACUAGGCUAAGCCGGCUAAAAGAGGCCACCAUGGUGGCAAAACAAGUGUCUGUGCAGUUACUGUAGCUUCGCUUGUCCGUGGUCAUGCCAUCUAUUAUCACUUAACCUAAUUAUUGGGUUAAUUGUUGUUUGUUAUGUUUUGGAUGUUAACAUUAUCUUGCACUGUUAGCAAGUGCUGCGUUUGACGUAGGUACUAAUGCAAUUAAGCGCUGAACAGCAUUAUUUUCCAGGAUUUUUAUUUGCAGUAAUUUGUAAUGGUUCACAAUCAUAGUGGCAACAAUAACAAGUACGAGGUGUAGCUGCAAGAUAUUUUCUUGUUAGAGACGGA
RNAcentral lists this unclassified non-coding RNA (1373 nucleotides) under Hevea brasiliensis (rubber tree). The record is from RNAcentral. Lineage: Eukaryota; Viridiplantae; Streptophyta; Magnoliopsida; Malpighiales; Euphorbiaceae.